GUGUUGGCACAUGUUCAUGUGUGUGUCUGUUGACUAAGGAGGAGCAGAGGGAGUUGAUUGAGACUCAGUAUCCACAGUGGAUUGAAAAGGCACCCACGGCAGCAGACAUAUGGACUACCGUGAAGGGCUUGCUGCGUGAUAAGCUGAGUGAUCAGAUAGGUCCCAUGCUGGAGGCUUUAGGGGACUGUGACCCUCGACAGACAGGAUCUGUUCACAAUGAAGACCUGAGAAGGAUCAUACAUUGUUACGGCCUGCCCCUCUCACACACACACUUCAACAAACUGAACUAUCAAGCCCAGGAUGCCUUAGUGAACAACAAGCCAGUGUGUUCCCCCAGCGCCACUGUAGGGGGUCCAAGGGUUCGCAUGGUGGAGAACAUUAUGUUCAGGAAGCUCAA
This is a long non-coding RNA of Oncorhynchus masou masou (cherry salmon), 397 nucleotides long. RefSeq lists it as uncharacterized. The transcript is spliced from 3 exons. The record is from RefSeq and is a predicted model, not a curated record. NCBI's taxonomy places the organism in Eukaryota, Metazoa, Chordata, Actinopteri, Salmoniformes, Salmonidae.